RNAcentral lists this ribosomal RNA (394 nucleotides) under uncultured bacterium. RNAcentral describes it as "partial 16S ribosomal RNA". It matches the Rfam family "Bacterial small subunit ribosomal RNA", at positions 523 to 918 of the family's 1533-position model. The record is from RNAcentral.
AUACGGAGGAUGCGAGCGUUAUCCGGAUUCAUUGGGUUUAAAGGGUGCGCAGGCGGACGGUUAAGUCAGCGGUGAAAAGUAUGCGCUUAACGCAUAUCGUGCCGUUGAAACUGGUCGACUAGGAUGCGGAUGCUGUGGGGGGAAUGCGUAGUGUAGCGGUGAAAUGCAUAGAUAUUACACAGAACACCGAUUGCGAAGGCAUCUCACAAAACCGCGAUUGACGCUGAGGCACGAAAGUGCGGGGAUCGAACAGGAUUAGAUCCCCUGGUAGUCCGCACAGUAAACGAUGAUAACUCGCUGUUGGCUCGCAAGGAGUCAGUGGCCAAGCGAAAGCGAUAAGUUAUCCACCUGGGGAGUACGACCGCAAGGUUGAAACUCAAAUGAAUUGACGGGG